RNAcentral lists this ribosomal RNA (433 nucleotides) under uncultured bacterium. Its description in RNAcentral is "partial 16S ribosomal RNA". It matches the Rfam family "Bacterial small subunit ribosomal RNA", at positions 29 to 507 of the family's 1533-position model. The record is from RNAcentral.
AACGAACGCUGGCGGCAUGCCUAACACAUGCAAGUCGAACGAGACCUUCGGGUCUAGUGGCGCACGGGUGCGUAACGCGUGGGAACCUGCCCUUAGGUUCGGAAUAACUCCCCGAAAGGGGUGCUAAUACCGGAUAAUGUCUUCGGACCAAAGAUUUAUCGCCUUUGGAUGGGCCCGCGUUGGAUUAGCUAGUUGGUAGGGUAAAAGCCUACCAAGGCGACGAUCCAUAGCUGGUCUGAGAGGAUGAUCAGCCACACUGGGACUGAGACACGGCCCAGACUCUUCCGGGAGGAGGGGGGGGGGAAUGGUGGAAAGGGGGCGAAGUCUUGAUCCACCAAGGCCGGGGGAGGGGUGAAGGCUUGGGGGUUGAAAGGCUUUUUACCCGGGGAAAAAAAGGACGGUACCGGAAAAAAAAGCCCCGGCUAACCCCGUC